GACGAACGCUGGCGGCGUGCUUAACACAUGCAAGUCGAACGGAAAGGCCUGCUUUCCCUUGUGGAUUGCGGGUACUCGAGUGGCGAACGGGUGAGUAACACGUGAGUGAUCUGCCCCCAACUUGGGUAUAAGCCUGGGAAACUGGGUCUAAUUCCCGAUAGGACUGCAGGGUGGUGCCUGUGGUGGAAAACGAUUUUCUAGUGGUUGGGGAUGAGCUCGCGGCCUAUCAGCUUGUUGGUGGGGUAAUGGCCUACCAAGGCGGCGACGGGUAGCCGGCCUGAGAGGGUGGACGGCCGCAUUGGAGCUGAGAUACGGCCCAGACUCCUACGGGAGGCAGCAGUGGGGAAUAUUGCACAAUGGGCGGAAGCCUGAUGCAGCGACGCCGCGUGGGGGAUGACGGCCUUCGGGUUGUAAACUCCUUUCGACCGCGAGGAAGCCACCUGGUUGGAAGGGUGGUGACGGUAGUGGUAGAAGAAGCACCGGCUAACUACGUG
RNAcentral lists this ribosomal RNA (494 nucleotides) under uncultured bacterium. Its description in RNAcentral is "partial 16S ribosomal RNA". It matches the Rfam family "Bacterial small subunit ribosomal RNA", at positions 28 to 507 of the family's 1533-position model. The record is from RNAcentral.